AUGAUUGUUGACUCAACAUUGAUUUCGUGCUUGAGUUGGAGGGCCCUCCCUCCAUAGAGUCAAGUAAUUCGCUAUCGUAAAUUUAGCCGCCGCGUAUCUCAUGCCAUGCUUCUUGUUUAUCCGAAUCGGUUCCGUCUGUCAGUCAAUAAAGAUUCGCCAUCAAGAGAGGGAAGAGCCUUGACUUUCGGUUAGGCCGGUCUCGUCAUUCAUGCAAUUCCCCCGUCCAUCGAUCGAUCACGCGAGCAUCCAGUCAGCACAUAGCGAACGAAAAAGGUGCACCAUGUUGAUAGGAAUCGGCAAAGACCUUCUUGUACACGUCCUAGAGGGCUGCAUUCAUGGCAAUCAUCACUAG
Vicia faba (fava bean) is the source of this 352-nucleotide non-coding RNA. NCBI's taxonomy places the organism in Eukaryota, Viridiplantae, Streptophyta, Magnoliopsida, Fabales, Fabaceae. The record is from the annotation of a GenBank genome assembly.